Molecule: ribosomal RNA, 237 nt
Filed under: uncultured nitrite-oxidizing bacterium
Lineage: Bacteria
Description: partial 16S ribosomal RNA
Rfam family: Bacterial small subunit ribosomal RNA
Source: RNAcentral
GACAGAGGUGGCGAGCGUUGUUCGGAAUUACUGGGCUUAAAGGGCGAGUAGGCGGUGGAGCAAGUCUGAGGUGGAAACCUAUGGCUUAACCAUAGAACUGCCUUGGAUACUGUUUCACUUGAGUCAGUGAGGGGAGGGCGGAAUUCCCGGUGUAGCGGUGAAAUGCGUAGAUAUCGGGAGGAAGGCCAGUGGCGAAGGCGGCCCUCUGGCGCUGAACUGACGCUGAGGCGCGAAAGC